UCUGGUAGGAGAUGGCUCUAAGAUAUUUCCCCUGACUAAGCAUCUCGGACACUUGCGAGGCCGCUCCCCAACGACUGGUUGGUGGAUGCCCUGAGCGGCCGCCGAGCUUUCUCGUUGGCAGUGUACAGCGCUAGAGCUUGAUAUUUGUAUAGCAUAAAAAUCGAGAGAUAUUUGUUGCCACGGAUUGAAAGGUGAAAGGGAUCCAUCUUCCAUCAAACUAUUUCUUCUCGUCUACCUGCACAGGGUCCCAACACCAAUUCCUUCAGCUUCAAUCAUUUCUUCAUCAGGGCAACAGGGAGAGGCUUCGAUCUGCAUCAUAAGAAGGGAGGUGCCUCUCAUCUCAGUUGUGUUGUGCUUGGAUGCGAUGGUGCCAUGGAGGAUGGAGGCGCGCCUGGCGGAGACGGUGUGGGUGGCGCUCCUCGGCUGGGUCUCCUCCUGCCUCACCGUCGCCGGCGACGUCGCACGCGCACUCAGAAGCAGCGAUCUCUCCGUCUAGGCCACUUUCAACAUCGCCGGCAACCAAGAACCGACGACUCUGCGUGGCGCGCUCCUCCAUAAACAGAGUUCGUCCAUAGAAGGACGACUGUGAUGUAGAAGUGAAAUCCUCAUGUAGCAUAGAUGUUAAAAUCUUGUGUCAAGCAGAGAGAUAGCUAUUUGCUCAGAGUGUCCUGACUUUCUAACACAGAUAGCAUUGAAGGAA
Long non-coding RNA from Hordeum vulgare subsp. vulgare (domesticated barley), 700 nucleotides. RefSeq lists it as uncharacterized. NCBI's taxonomy places the organism in Eukaryota, Viridiplantae, Streptophyta, Magnoliopsida, Poales, Poaceae. The record is from RefSeq and is a predicted model, not a curated record. The transcript is spliced from 2 exons.